GAGGUAAAUUAGAGAUUAGUGUCACUAAUAAUAUACUAGAUUGCCUACUUACAAUCAGAUGAGGAUGGAGAUGGGCUCUGGCUGCAGUCUGGCUCCACUGGUCUGGUGUAGAACAGGAUCUCUGGAGGCUGUUUGUAACUGUGGUCACAAAAUUCAAUGUUCUGGGAGAACGGGAAGCAGCUCCAUUUUUUUGGGGCCUCUUACAUAGCUCAAGGUCUGGGCCCCAGGGCCUGACGGUGAGUAUGCCCAUAAAGCCCACCCAUAAGUCCCCCUACAUGUUCCACCCAUGAACUCACAGGGAGUAGAGUGUGUAGG
Pelobates cultripes (western spadefoot toad) is the source of this 315-nucleotide non-coding RNA. The record is from the annotation of a GenBank genome assembly. NCBI's taxonomy places the organism in Eukaryota, Metazoa, Chordata, Amphibia, Anura, Pelobatidae.